GAUGAACGCUAGCGAUAGGCCUAACACAUGCAAGUCGAGGGGCAUCACAUGAAGUAGCAAUACGGAUGGUGGCGACCGGCGCACGGGUGAGUAACACGUAUGCAACCUGCCUUCAACAAGGGGAUAACCCGUUGAAAGACGGACUAAUACCCUAUAACACAGGGGUCCCGCAUGGGAAUAUUUGUUAAAGGACAACCGGUUGAAGAUGGGCAUGCGUUCCAUUAGCUAGUUGGCGGGGUAAGGCCCACCAAGGCAACGAUGGAUAGGGGAACUGAGAGGUUUAUCCCCCACACUGGUACUGAGACACGGACCAGACUCCUACGGGAGGCAGCAGUGAGGAAUAUUGGUCAAUGGACGCAAGUCUGAACCAGCCACGUCGCGUGAAGGAAGACGGCCCUACGGGUUGUAAACUUCUUUUAUACGGGAAUAAAGUGCCCCACGCGUGGGGUUUUGCAUGUACCGUAUGAAUAAGGAUCGGCUAACUCCGUGCCAGCAGCCGCGGUAAGUACGCAGCGA
Molecule: ribosomal RNA, 516 nt
Filed under: uncultured bacterium
Lineage: Bacteria
Description: bacterial SSU rRNA
Rfam family: Bacterial small subunit ribosomal RNA
Source: RNAcentral